RNAcentral lists this transfer RNA (51 nucleotides) under Longidorus vineacola. RNAcentral describes it as "tRNA-Ile". The record is from RNAcentral. Lineage: Eukaryota; Metazoa; Nematoda; Enoplea; Dorylaimida; Longidoridae.
AGUAUUAUUUGUGUGCAGUGAUAUUGCAGAUAUGCCAUAGGGCUAAUACUC